RNAcentral lists this ribosomal RNA (467 nucleotides) under uncultured bacterium. Its description in RNAcentral is "partial 16S ribosomal RNA". It matches the Rfam family "Bacterial small subunit ribosomal RNA", at positions 28 to 507 of the family's 1533-position model. The record is from RNAcentral.
GAUGAACGCUGGCGGCGUGCUUAACACAUGCAAGUCGAACGGAAAGGCCCAAGCUUGCUUGGGUACUCGAGUGGCGAGCGGGUGAGUAACACGUGGGUGAUCUGCCCUGCACUUCGGGAUAAGCCUGGGAAACUGGGUCUAAUACCGGAUAGGACCACUUCUUGGAUGUUGUGGUGGAAAGUUUUUUCGGUGUGGGAUGAGCUCGCGGCCUAUCAGCUUGUUGGUGGGGUAAUGGCCUACCAAGGCGUCGACGGGUAGCCGGCCUGAGAGGGUGUACGGCCACAUUGGGACUGAGAUACGGCCCAGACUCCUACGGGAGGCAGCAGUGGGGAAUAUUGCACAAUGGGCGCAAGCCUGAUGCAGCGACGCCGCGUGGGGGAUGACGGCCUUCGGGUUGUAAACUCCUUUCGCUAGGGACGAAGCGUUUUGUGACGGUACCUGGAGAAGAAGCACCGGCUAACUACGUG